UACGUAGGGCGCGAGCGUUGUCCGGAAUCAUUGGGCGUAAAGAGCUCGUAGGCGGCCUGUCGCGUCGGUUGUGAAAGCCCGGGGCUUAACCCCGGGUCUGCAGUCGAUACGGGCAGGCUAGAGUUCGGUAGGGGAGAUCGGAAUUCCUGGUGUAGCGGUGAAAUGCGCAGAUAUCAGGAGGAACACCGGUGGCGAAGGCGGAUCUCUGGGCCGAUACUGACGCUGAGGAGCGAAAGCGUGGGGAGCGAACAGG
This 253-nucleotide ribosomal RNA is filed under the name uncultured bacterium. RNAcentral describes it as "partial 16S ribosomal RNA". It matches the Rfam family "Bacterial small subunit ribosomal RNA", at positions 524 to 776 of the family's 1533-position model. The record is from RNAcentral.